RNAcentral lists this ribosomal RNA (355 nucleotides) under uncultured bacterium. RNAcentral describes it as "bacterial SSU rRNA". It matches the Rfam family "Bacterial small subunit ribosomal RNA", at positions 28 to 375 of the family's 1533-position model. The record is from RNAcentral.
GACGAACGCUGGCGGCGUGCUUAACACAUGCAAGUCGAACGAGAAGCCGGAGCAAUCCGGUUGUAAAGUGGCAAACGGGUGAGUAAUGCGUGGGUAAUCUACCCUCGGGUGGGGAAUAACUCUUCGAAAGGAGAGCUAAUGCCGACAUGUGCAUCACUUUCGCAAGGAAGUGCUGGAAAGCCGUAUCGUGGAUACGGCGCCCAAGGAUGAGCUCACGUCCUACAGCUUGUUGGCGGGGUAACGGCCCACCAAGGCUCCGACGGUAGCUGGUCUGAGAGGACGACCAGCCACACUGGCACUGCGACACGGGCCAGACUCCUACGGGAGGCAGCAGUGAGGAAUAUUGCGCAAUGGG